Vombatus ursinus (common wombat) is the source of this 255-nucleotide long non-coding RNA. RefSeq lists it as uncharacterized. The transcript is spliced from 3 exons. The record is from RefSeq and is a predicted model, not a curated record. Lineage: Eukaryota; Metazoa; Chordata; Mammalia; Diprotodontia; Vombatidae.
CCUGCCCGCGGGCGAGCCGGCGCUUCAGCUUGUCGGCCCCGAGCCUGCGCAGUGGCAUGUGAAAGAACAUUGGCUUGUUCCACCUAUCACCUUAUCUUCUGAAGACCACGUAUUUGAAAAGUUAGAAGCAAUUAUUGAUGAGGAGAAUGACAUGCUUGAUCUGGCCUGUGGACUAACCAUCAUGUAAGAUUUUAGGACUAUUAGAGGUCUGAAUAAAAGUCAUCUAGGUGGUGCAGUGAAUGGAGAGCUGGACCU